ACCCCAGACUCCUACGGGAGGCAGCAGUGGGGGAUAUUGCACAAUGGGGGGAACCCUGAUGCAGCGACGCCGCGUGGGUGAAGGAGCGUUUCGGCGCGUAAAGCCCUAUCGGCAGGGAAGAAGGAGGACGGUACCUGACUAAGAAGCCCCGGCUAACUACGUGCCAGCAGCCGCGGUAAUACGUAGGGGGCAAGCGUUAUCCGGAUUCACUGGGUGUAAAGGGAGCGUAGACGGCCAUGCAAGCCUGGAGUGAAAGCCCGGGGCCCAACCCCGGGACUGCUCUGGGAACUGUGCGGCUGGAGUGCAGGAGGGGCAGGCGGAAUUCCUGGUGUAGCGGUGAAAUGCGUAGAUAUCAGGAGGAACACCGGCGGCGAAGGCGGCCUGCUGGACCGCGACUGACGUUGAGGCUCGAAAGCGUGGGGAGCAAACAGGAUUAGAUACCCUUGUAU
This 449-nucleotide ribosomal RNA is filed under the name uncultured bacterium. RNAcentral's name for it is "bacterial SSU rRNA". It matches the Rfam family "Bacterial small subunit ribosomal RNA", at positions 328 to 793 of the family's 1533-position model. The record is from RNAcentral.